This 100-nucleotide small RNA is filed under the name Klebsiella pneumoniae. Its description in RNAcentral is "RtT sRNA". It matches the Rfam family "RtT RNA", at positions 33 to 130 of the family's 130-position model. From Rfam's summary of the family: This family represents a bacterial cis-regulatory element known as RtT RNA. The exact function of RtT is unknown although it is thought that it may be involved in changing the cellular response in relation to amino acid starvation. Lineage: Bacteria; Pseudomonadati; Pseudomonadota; Gammaproteobacteria; Enterobacterales; Enterobacteriaceae. The record is from RNAcentral.
CGACUAAGGUUCGACUCGAGCGAAGCGAGAGAACGUUGCCGCAGGCAACGGCCCGAAGGGCGAGGCGCUUUAGCGCCGAGUAAUCCUUCCCCCACCACCA